RNAcentral lists this ribosomal RNA (253 nucleotides) under uncultured bacterium. Its description in RNAcentral is "partial 16S ribosomal RNA". It matches the Rfam family "Bacterial small subunit ribosomal RNA", at positions 524 to 776 of the family's 1533-position model. The record is from RNAcentral.
UACGAGGGGGGCGAGCGUUGUUCGGAAUUAUUGGGCGUAAAGGGCGCGCAGGCGGCCCUUGAAGUCAGGCGUGAAAGCCCCGGGCUCAACCUGGGAGGUGCGCUUGAUACUCGAGGGCUUGAGUGCGGGAGAGGAGAGUGGAAUUCCCAGUGUAGAGGUGAAAUGCGUAGAUAUCGGUAGGAACACCAGUGGCGAAGGCGGUCUCCUGGGGCAUUCUUGACGCUGAGGCGCGAAAGCUGGGGGAGCAAACGGG